Molecule: unclassified non-coding RNA, 467 nt
Filed under: Hevea brasiliensis (rubber tree)
Lineage: Eukaryota; Viridiplantae; Streptophyta; Magnoliopsida; Malpighiales; Euphorbiaceae
Source: RNAcentral
GACACAUAUUUUUGAAAUGUGAUUACAUGAGAUGGUACAAAAUCCAAUAUAUCCAGAUUUUUAUUAUGGAUAACAACUUCUAUAGUCCCAAAACUUUAUCUUCUUUUACAAUCAAGUCCUGAUAUUUUUAAAAUCUUUUGUUCUUGGUCCUAUCCGGUUGAUUGUAAAAACAAAUAUAGAUUAAGGACUACAUAAACUGUUAUCCAUUUUUACCAUCUGUUAAGAUUAUUUGUAACCUCUAGCCAGUAAAAAGAAUCUGAUGUUAUGGUCUGGUAGAUUUGCUUGUCCUCAUUUGACUGUCAAAUUAGUGCUUUGAUAUGCUUUGUCUCUUCUUUCCUUUUAUCUUUUUUUUUCCCCAAGUGAUGAUGAGAUCUGUUGCAAAUGCUUAAAUGCUAUGAGAUUAUGAUUACUGCUGUUAUAGAAUCCUUGUAAACUUCAGCUUGAAAGUUUUGAAUUUAUUUUUGUUU